GAAAUGCGAUACGUAGUGUGAAUUGCAGAAUUCCGUGAACCAUCGAAUCUUUGAACGCAUAUUGCGCUCGAGCCCUCGGGCAAGAGCAUGUCUGCCUCAGCGUCGGUUUACCCCCUCACCCCUCCCACUUUUGUUGGGUGUGUUGGCUUCUAUGCCAGCCAUAGGGGUGGAUCUGGCUUCCCCAAUUCGCUGUAGUGGAUUGGGUUGGCUGAAGUAUAGAGGCUUAAGCAAGGACCCGAUAUGGGGUUCAACUGGAUAGGUAGCACCGGCUUUGGCCGACUACACGAAGUUGUUGCUUGUGGAUCUUGCUAGAGGACAAGCAGGAACGUGCCUUUGGCAUGUCUAAACUUUCGACCUGAGCUCAGGCAAGGCUACCCGCUGAACUUAAGC
This 390-nucleotide unclassified non-coding RNA is filed under the name plant metagenome. RNAcentral describes it as "partial contains 5.8S ribosomal RNA, internal transcribed spacer 2, and large subunit ribosomal RNA". The stretch from base 1 to 105 matches the Rfam family "5.8S ribosomal RNA", at positions 50 to 154 of the family's 154-position model. The record is from RNAcentral.